AAUGGCAGGUCAGCAUACUGCCGUGAAUACGUUCCCGGGCCUUGUACACACCGCCCGUCACACCAUGAGAGUUAGGAAUACCCGAAGCCUGUGAGCCAACUUAUCCAAGAGGCAGCAGUCGAAGGUAGAACUAAUGAUUGGGGUGAAGUCGUAACAAGGUAAC
RNAcentral lists this ribosomal RNA (163 nucleotides) under uncultured bacterium. RNAcentral describes it as "partial 16S ribosomal RNA". It matches the Rfam family "Bacterial small subunit ribosomal RNA", at positions 1340 to 1500 of the family's 1533-position model. The record is from RNAcentral.